Molecule: long non-coding RNA, 641 nt
Filed under: Homo sapiens (human)
Lineage: Eukaryota; Metazoa; Chordata; Mammalia; Primates; Hominidae
Description: non-protein coding lnc-ZNF280B-6:2
Source: RNAcentral
UGAACAUUCUGUAGGGGCCACUGUCUUCUCCACGGUGCUCCCUUCAUGCGUGACCUGGCAGCUGUAGCUUUUGUGGGACUUCCACUGCUCAGGCGUCAGGCUCAGGUAGCUGCUGGCCGCGUACUUGUUGUUGCUUUGUUUGGAGGGUGUGGUGGUCUCCACUCCCGCCUUGACGGGGCUGCUAUCUGCCUUCCAGGCCACUGUCACGGCUCCCGGGUAGAAGUCACUUAUGAGACACACCAGUGUGGCCUUGUUGGCUUGAAGCUCCUCAGAGGAGGGUGGGAACAGAGUGACCGAGGGGGCAGCCUUGGGCUGACUAGGACGGUCAGCUUGGUCCCUCCGCCGAACACCCAACACUGUGACACAGUGACAGUAGUAGUCAGCCUCGUCCUCAGUCUUCAGUCCAGAGAUGGUGAGGGAGGCAGAGUUGGAGGAGCUGUCGAUGGAGCCAGAGAACCGAUCAGGGACCCCAGAGGGUCUUUGGUUAUCCUCAUAGAUCACAGUGGUGGGGGCACUGCCCGGGCGCUGCUGGUACCACUGCACAUAGUUGCUGGCAAUGCUGCCACUGCUGCCGGUGCAGGAGAUGGUUACCGUCUUCCCCGGAGACUCCGACACAGAGUGGGGCUGAGUCAGCAUAAAAU